RNAcentral lists this ribosomal RNA (465 nucleotides) under Vreelandella stevensii. RNAcentral describes it as "partial 16S ribosomal RNA". It matches the Rfam family "Bacterial small subunit ribosomal RNA", at positions 338 to 795 of the family's 1533-position model. The record is from RNAcentral. Lineage: Bacteria; Pseudomonadati; Pseudomonadota; Gammaproteobacteria; Oceanospirillales; Halomonadaceae.
CCUACGGGGGGCAGCAGUGGGGAAUAUUGGACAAUGGGCGAAAGCCUGAUCCAGCCAUGCCGCGUGUGUGAAGAAGGCCUUCGGGUUGUAAAGCACUUUCAGUGGGGAAGAAAGCCUUGGGGCUAAUACCCUCGAGGAAGGACAUCACCCACAGAAGAAGCACCGGCUAACUCCGUGCCAGCAGCCGCGGUAAUACGGAGGGUGCGAGCGUUAAUCGGAAUUACUGGGCGUAAAGCGCGCGUAGGCGGUCUGAUAAGCCGGUUGUGAAAGCCCCGGGCUCAACCUGGGAACGGCAUCCGGUACUGUCAGGCUAGAGUGCAGGAGAGGAAGGUAGAAUUCCCGGUGUAGCGGUGAAAUGCGUAGAGAUCGGGAGGAAUACCAGUGGCGAAGGCGGCCUUCUGGACUGACACUGACGCUGAGGUGCGAAAGCGUGGGUAGCAAACAGGAUUAGAUACCCUAGUAGUC